Molecule: ribosomal RNA, 301 nt
Filed under: uncultured bacterium
Lineage: Bacteria
Description: partial 16S ribosomal RNA
Rfam family: Bacterial small subunit ribosomal RNA
Source: RNAcentral
CAGCCGCCGCGGUAAUACGUAGGUGGCAAGCGUUGUCCGGAAUUAUUGGGCGUAAAGGGCUCGCAGGCGGUUUCUUAAGUCUGAUGAGAAAGCCCCCGGCUCAACCGGGGAGGGUCAUUGGAAACUGGGAAACUUGAGUGCAGAAGAGGAGAGUGGAAUUCCACGUGUAGCGGUGAAAUGCGUAGAGAUGUGGAGGAACACCAGUGGCGAAGGCGACUCUCUGGUCUGUAACUGACGCUGAGGAGCGAAAGCGUGGGGAGCGAACAGGAUUAGAUACCCCUGUAGUCCCUGUCUCUUAUAC